GCCUACCAUGCAGUCGAACGGUAACAGGAAGCAGCUUGCUUGCUUUGCUGACGAGUGGCGGACGGGAAGAUAAUGUCUGGGAAACUGCCUGAUGGAGGGGGAUAACUACUGGAAACGGUAGCUAAUACCGCAUAACGUCGCAAGACCAAAGAGGGGGACCUUCGGGCCUCUUGCCAUCGGAUGUGCCCAGAUGGGAUUAGCUAGUAGGUGGGGUAAAGGCUCACCUAGGCGACGAUCCCUAGCUGGUCUGAGAGGAUGACCAGCCACACUGGAACUGAGACACGGUCCAGACUCCUACGGGAGGCAGCAGUGGGGAAUAUUGCACAAUGGGCGCAAGCCUGAUGCAGCCAUGCCGCGUGUAUGAAGAAGGCCUUCGGGUUGUAAAGUACUUUCAGCGGGGAGGAAGGGAGUAAAGUUAAUACCUUUGCUCAUUGACGUUACCCGCAGAAGAAGCACCGGCUAACUCCGUGCCAGCAGCCGCGGUAAUACGGAGGGUGCAAGCGUUAAUCGGAAUUACUGGGCGUAAAGCGCACGCAGGCGGUUUGUUAAGUCAGAUGUGAAAUCCCCGGGCUCAACCUGGGAACUGCAUCUGAUACUGGCAAGCUUGAGUCUCGUAGAGGGGGGUAGAAUUCCAGGUGUAGCGGUGAAAUGCGUAGAGAUCUGGAGGAAUACCGGUGGCGAAGGCGGCCCCCUGGACGAAGACUGACGCUCAGGUGCGAAAGCGUGGGGAGCAAACAGGAUUAGAUACCCCUGGUAGUCCACGCCGUAAACGAUGUCGACUUGGAGGUUGUGCCCUUGAGGCGUGGCUUCCGGAGCUAACGCGUUAGUCGACCGCCUGGGGAGUACGGCCGCAAGGUUAAAACUCAAAUGAAUUGACGGGGGCCCGCCCCAA
Molecule: ribosomal RNA, 892 nt
Filed under: bacterium
Lineage: Bacteria
Description: bacterial SSU rRNA
Rfam family: Bacterial small subunit ribosomal RNA
Source: RNAcentral